Molecule: ribosomal RNA, 574 nt
Filed under: Klebsiella aerogenes
Lineage: Bacteria; Pseudomonadati; Pseudomonadota; Gammaproteobacteria; Enterobacterales; Enterobacteriaceae
Description: bacterial SSU rRNA
Rfam family: Bacterial small subunit ribosomal RNA
Source: RNAcentral
GCGCACGCAGGCGGUCUGUCAAGUCGGAUGUGAAAUCCCCGGGCUCAACCUGGGAACUGCAUUCGAAACUGGCAGGCUAGAGUCUUGUAGAGGGGGGUAGAAUUCCAGGUGUAGCGGUGAAAUGCGUAGAGAUCUGGAGGAAUACCGGUGGCGAAGGCGGCCCCCUGGACAAAGACUGACGCUCAGGUGCGAAAGCGUGGGGAGCAAACAGGAUUAGAUACCCUGGUAGUCCACGCCGUAAACGAUGUCGACUUGGAGGUUGUGCCCUUGAGGCGUGGCUUCCGGAGCUAACGCGUUAAGUCGACCGCCUGGGGAGUACGGCCGCAAGGUUAAAACUCAAAUGAAUUGACGGGGGCCCGCACAAGCGGUGGAGCAUGUGGUUUAAUUCGAUGCAACGCGAAGAACCUUACCUACUCUUGACAUCCAGAGAACUUUGCAGAGAUGGAUUGGUGCCUUCGGGAACUCUGAGACAGGUGCUGCAUGGCUGUCGUCAGCUCGUGUUGUGAAAUGUUGGGUUAAGUCCCGCAACGAGCGCAACCCUUAUCCUUUGUUGCCAGCGGUUAGGCCGGUAACU